Molecule: ribosomal RNA, 1795 nt
Filed under: Candidatus Woesebacteria bacterium RIFCSPLOWO2_01_FULL_39_10b
Lineage: Bacteria; Candidatus Woeseibacteriota
Description: bacterial SSU rRNA
Rfam family: Bacterial small subunit ribosomal RNA
Source: RNAcentral
UUUGAGGGUUUGAUCCUGGCCCAGGAUGAACGCUAGCGGCGUGCUUUAGGUAUGCAAGUGGAACGGCUCGUGCGGAGCACGGGCGACUUAAGACUGAAAACCGAAGACUUAAAUUUAAGUUUUUAGUGUUAAGUUUUAAGUUGCCCACGCUCUGCGUGAGCAGUCGCGAACGGCUGAGUAACACGUAGGAACGUACCUUCUAGUGGAGCAUAGCUCCUCGAAAGAGGGGGUAAUUCUCCAUACGGUGGGUGGAGAUUUAAGGGUGAAAUUAAGAUCCUUUUUGGAAAUUUUGCUUUUAAGUCUCCAUCUAUCAAAGAGAGUAACUUCUCGCUGGAAGAGCGGCCUGCGGCCUAUCAGCUAGUUGGUAGGGUAACGGCCUACCAAGGCAAUGACGGGUAGGGGGCGUGAGAGCGUGUACCCCCAGAAUGGCACUGAGAAACGGGCCAUACACCUACGGGUGGCGCAACCGGGAAUCGUGCGCAAUGGGCGAAAGCCUGACGCUGCGACGCCGCGUGAGGGAUGAAGGCCUAAGUGGUUGUAAACCUCUUUUGCCAGGUACCAUACGGUACUUGGAGAAUAAGCACCGGCUAACUCCGUGCCAGCAGCAGCGGUAAUACGGAGGGUGCAAGCGUUAUCCGGAUUCAUUGGGCGUAAAGGGUUCGUAGGCGGUCCGAUAAGUCGUGCUUUAAAGACCCCAGCUUAACUGGGGAAAGGGGCGCGAUACUGUCGGACUUGAAAAAUCUAGGGGCUUACCGGAACUGUCGGUGUAGGGGUGAAAUCCGUUGAUAUCGACAGGAACACCUAGGGCGAAGGCAGGUAGCUGGGGAUUUUCAGGUACCAUUCGGUACCUGACCAGGCACAGUAUAGUGCUUGGUUUGACGCUGAGGGACGAAAGCUAGGGGAGCGAAAGGGAUUAGAGACCCCUGUAGUCCUAGCUGUAAACGAUGCUCGCUAGGGAUAGGGCUCGCAAAGGAUGUAUCCUUUGCGAAAACUCCAAACAAUAUAUAAAUGUAAAGUUUUAUAAAUUUAUUUAAUUUAGUUUUGUUUGGAAGUUUGGAUUUUUGGAUGAUUUGGCGUUUUUCGCAAAAAUGCUGAUGCAUUUUUUGCGAGCUCUGUCCCGCAAGCUAACGCGUUAAGCGAGCCGCCUGGGGAGUACGAGCGCAAGCUUAAAACUCAAAGGAAUUGACGGGGACCCGCACAACCAGUGGAGCAUGUGGUUUAAUUCGAGAUGAACCGAAGAACCUUACCUGGGCUUGACAUCCGCCUUUUCCUGCCCUGGAAACAGGGAAAGGGCCCGCCGUAAGGCGGGGAAGGCGAGACAGGUGUUGCAUGGCCGUCGUCAGCUCGUGCCGUGGGGUGUUCCCUUCAGUGGGGUAACGAGCGCAACCCCUGCCGUAUGUUAAAUUGUUCAUACGGGACAUCCUGAGUUUAUCGAAGGAGGAAGUGGGGACGACGUCAGGUCAGCAUGGCCCUUAUGUCCAGGGCGACACACAUGCUACAAUGGAGCCGACAAAGGGUUGCCAAGCGGUAACGCGGAGCUAAUCUCAAAAACGGCUUCUUCAGUGGGGAUUGAGGGCUGAAACCCGCCCUCAUGAACGCGGAAUUGGUAGUAAUCGCGGAUCAGCCAAGCCGCGGUGAAUACGUUCUCGGGUCUUGUACACACCGCCCGUCAAGUCAGUAAAGUUGGGGGCACCCGAAUUUCGGAUGUUCCGGAGUAAGGUGAAACCAGCGAUAAGGAUUAAGUCGUAACAAGGUAUCCGUUCUGGAAGGAGCGGAUGGAUCACCUCCUUUCUAA